RNAcentral lists this long non-coding RNA (2864 nucleotides) under Mytilus galloprovincialis (Mediterranean mussel). The record is from RNAcentral. Lineage: Eukaryota; Metazoa; Mollusca; Bivalvia; Mytilida; Mytilidae.
CUUUUUAACAGGGACAUACCUAUAUUGUAGUAUUUAUGUUUAAAUUUCUAAUUUGUGUUGCCUAGGUUCAACUGAUGGUAAAAUCAACUGUUGGAAUACAGACACUGGAGUGAGGGUAGCUGUGUUUAACUGUGAUCAUCCAGGACCAGUCCAAUGUGUUCAGUUUAAUCCUAAACUAAUGAUGUUAGCUACUGCUUGUACAAAUAUGGUAAAUAUUUACAUAAAAUUUAUAACUGGUUCAAGGAAUCUGUACCAUUUAAAUAAACUCAUCAUAGAUACUAAGAUUGAAAUUUUGUAUUUGCCCUUUACACAUAUUUUGUCUACAAAAGACUCAUCAUUGAUACUCAAAUCAAACAAGAAUGUGUCUCCAGUACACAGAUGCCUCAUCAUCACUAUCAUUUUCUAUGUUCAGUGGACCGUGAAAAUGGGUGAAAAUCUCUAAUUUGGCAGUAAAAUUAUAAAGAUCAUAUCAUAGGGAACAUGUGUACUAAGUUUCAAGUUGAUUGGACUUCAACUUCAUCAAAAACUACCUCAAUCAAAAACUUUAACUAAAUCUUUAACCUGAAGUGGGACAGACGAACAGACCAGAUAACAUAAUGCCCAUAAAUGGGGCAUAAAAAUGAUAAGGGCCAAAUAAAAAGUACAAAGUUGAAAAGCAAAAAGUAAGGAUUGGAUGACUGAUUUUAUGGUGUUAGUUUAAACAAUAUUUAUUCAGAUAAAUCAACAUUAAAGAUAUUAUACAAUGAAAUAAUAUUAAGGAUUCAGAAAUGGUUAAACACCCCUUCUGCACAAUUGGCUUUAUAUCGGUGGCCAGCUUUUGUCGGUGGUGGAAGCUGGAGUGCCCUACAGGCUAGAGAAAUAUGAUCUGCAGCAGGAAAACUGGCAAUUACUGUUUCAAGAUCUGAGAUAAACAUACCUGCUACUAACUAGCAGGGUUCGAACCCUGCAACACAAGUGUUGGCACGCUGGGAAAAAUAAGAUGAGGAUGUAUGGACAUAUUGUAAAAAGACUUUGUUAAAGUAUUUCUUUGGUAAACCUUCAAUUAAACAUUUUUUUACAUUGGUUGUGAUGAAAUAUAAUGAUUAUAUAUUGCAUUUGUGAAAUUAAUCUUCUAAUUUCACUUCUUUGACAUCACACUCAAAAAAGAAUAACUACUCCAUGAAUUCAGCUUUGUUUUGUGAGAUUGUUAUCAGCCUUUUAUUUAUUGUUUAGUCAUGAUCAAAUACCUGUCCUUGUCCCGAGAUAGACGAUCCGUCAAAGUAUAGGUUAUUUAUAUAAGAUGAUCAUCUUUAACCUGUCCAUGCAUUAUUUUACUGUUAUAUAUGUAUUCAACGCUAUUUACUGUUUAAUUAUUUAUUUCCCUUAUUUUAGGCAUUCUGGUUACCUUACAUUGAUGAUUGAGUGAUUAAGAAAUGUUUUCAUACAAACAUUGGAGGAGGCAGCAAAGACAUGAAGAAUAGUGUUGAAUGUUUUAUAAAUGUUGUAUAUGGAUGAGACAUAUGAAAGAUACAUUUAUACAAUUGUUGUUUAUUUCACUGUUAAUGUGCAAUCUCAUAAACAUUAUUUGUUUGAAAUAAUUAGAGUGCAAGAGACACAGGCUCAGAAUAUUUGUAUCUUGUUUUAAGAUUUAGACAUAUUAAAUAUUUUUACUUCAUAUUCAAGACAUAUUUUGAUAUUUAAAUUUGAUUUAAAAUGAAAGACUUAAUAGUUUUUGAACAGUCAAUAUUGAAGUGAUGUUGCUUUGCAAUUUUUUUUUUUAUUUUGUUUCAGAGUUUUUAAAUGACUCCCAUCAUGUAAUUGAAAUUUAGAAAGAAAAAAAUUAAACAUUAGUUUAAAAAAGGCACACCUUAGUUACUUUAGUACAAACAUUUUUUUUUUUAUUUAUUUUAUACAUUCUAAUUAUGUAAAAAAAAUCUACAGCAAAUAAUCUCACAAUGUAUUCACUACAUACAAGACAUAAAUAUGUCAAACAUGUGUAUGUUACAGUCUGUCUGUUUAGUAUUUUAACCAUUAUGAGUUUUACUCUUAUUUUUUUUAUUUAUUUUUUUUUAAAUCCUUUGUGCCACAUUUAUAUUUGCUUCAGUUGUGGGCAUUGAACCAUUAUAUAUGCCCACCAGUUUAUUGUACCAUUGUGAAUACAACUCAUCCAUACUUCAUUUAUGUGAAGAUGUUUAAUCAGAUAUACGUUAAGAUUGGUAAUUCACACAAACACUAUUUCAAAUCAAGCUAUCCAAAGAUCUGAAUACAAUGUCAUUAUCACUUUCUUUCCUAUUCAACAAUGUUGUCCUUUACAUAAGCAUCUUUUGUUGUGUACCUAAAAAAAGGGACAAUCCUGUGUUUGAAAUAGACUUACUUUUCAAAAAGUUACUUGUAACUGUAAUGUCUAUAAUUUGUGAUAAAUGAAAGUCAGGUAAACCUCAUUAUUAAGUGUAUAUGAUCAUUUAAUGCCCCAUUUAAAAGAUUGUUUUACCCUGUAUUAUUUUCCAAUGUAGGUAACUGUAACAUAGUAACACAUAUUAAAAUAUGUUUCAUUGUACAAAGAAAUGACCAAGAAGUUAUUCACUGCCAACACUGAUGUGUAUUGUAACAUGUGUGUGUAUAAGUGUGAAGAAGGAUAUGUAUCAAAGUUAUACAAGUUUGUGUGACAGGUUUUCAUAUGACAUCCUACCUAACAGUACCAUUAUAAAUAACAUUUUGUAUCUUAAGUAAAGAAAAGAGAAACUUAAAAUUGUGUUAUUAUUUUUGGAAGAUGGAGUUCAUAUUCGGUCUAUUUUUUGGUACAUGUACUAUGUUCUUAAUAAAAAAGCCAACUUGACAUGUAUGAUUAUACACAUUCACAUCUUUUUUUAAUUUGCACAUUGCCU